AACAAACGAGUUAAAAAAAAAGGCACCUUGUAUCAGCACGAGUACAUUCUGAUUAUAUUACAGUUGUGAGUUAUAGUGUCACAACUUCCUCAAAAAAAUAAUCCAUAAACUGAAGAAAUUUUUAUAGAGUGGCCGGUCGGCAUAAACCGUUAACUUCCAUGAAAAGUGCUUCAGAAAACUUCCAUGCUGCAAAUUAACUUGUGGAGUAUAAUUAUAAAUUAGUGCAUGCCACUGUUCUUCCCCAAUAAUGGAUGACAGAUCGAGUAGAAUCCAAAUCCUAAAAGUGAGACGGAAAAACAAUAAGUUAGUCUGAGAAUCUAACACGUUAAUCCAUCCGCAAGACAAACUUAAAAAAGAAAAUAAUAAUAAUAAAUUAAAUAGAUCAAAUACAAUGCACAACACAACACAAAGAAAAAGCCAAUAGGUUACGUACUGUCUUAUUGGCACGUAAGUAAGAGGGAAUCUUAUAACUAAACAAACAACAACUGCCCCUUCUGAUAAUUUAUUCCCAGCCGUCCGUCCGACAAACAGCUUUUGUGAUUUAUCUAGACGCAGCUAUGUUAUUAGUUUAUCAAGCAGCUGCAUGUGAAUUAAGGGUAUUAAUUAAACAAUACAUGAGUAUCAUAUUAUAUGCAUAAACUUUCUCAUAUGCAUACAAGUCGGAAACAAUAGAAACAGCCAAAAGAUGCUGAAGUUUCAGUAUAAAUCUAUAAUGAAGCUGCAGCAAAGUGGAACACUUUCUACAAAAAUACAAAACAUAAUAAAACUCGGAAACUUUCACAAAUACACGCCUGCCUAAGGAUGUCAAUUCAUUCCUUUGGAACAUGCACUUGUUUUGGAUACAAAACAAACUAUAUAGUACUCUAUAUAUCAACCUCAAUUAAGUAGCAAAUCACAAUAAUAUUAUGACAAUUAAGCACGUGAUGUCUAGCUCAUUCGAAUGCAGAUUUUUUCUUGCUCACAGUUUGAAUCCAGUUCCUAGCUAGUAGCAUAUAUAAAACAGACAAUUAUAAUAUAAAAUGAUCUUAUGAAUGAGAUUAAAACUUGGCCAAUUGAAAUCCUAGGUCUUAUUACAUAACUGAUUUUUAUUCUAAAGUGCUUGAACUAUUUUUCCUAGAACCGCUCAAUCCAUAAAGUGAACCUAAUGUGUAAUGGAAUACCAUUUUUCUGACUUUUCAUUUCUGCCACAGUACCUUUGCUUUUUUUCUAAUCACAUGGUUUCCAUGCUGAAAUUAAAAUAAGGUGGAAACGAAAGUACACCAUAAACAUCAACGAACCACACAUGUUGGCCACUUUCAUAAUGGCCAUUGCAUAGAUUGAAUCAUGUAUCGAAAAAACAUGAUUUUAACAGCUUUACAAACAUCUGCAAUGAAUAUUCUCAUAUCCCAUGAGUGACUGGCUGACUGCUUUAUCACAUCAUAAAAGUUACUAUAAAGUUUGUAGUCAUACCAGAGUGGCCAUGUCCAGCACUUGAAAACAUUUUUAAGUACCAUUUGACUAGCUACUAAAAUUGAUGCAACCCGGCCACCACUACAUAAACAAGAGAAUUAUUUUUAGUAAUUUACGAGUAACAUAAUACUAAUUUUAAAAAACAAAACAGAAAAUGUGGAGGACCGAUAGGUGUCUUUCAGCUGGUGCUUCCCCUAAUCCAUUGUCCGUCUCUACUGCCAAAUUAAUUAUUAGUAUACGACAUAAUAUAUAUAUAUAUAUAUAUAUAUAUAUAUAUAUAUAUAUAUAUAUAAUAUAUAUAUAUAUAUAUAUAACACUCAGAGGCAAGCAUACACACAAAAUUGCAUCAUAUCCUACAUUAAUUGCUCCAUGGAUCUAAAACUGAUCAUAUAUCCCCCUAGCAUGUUGCCUUAUCCUAUCCAUUUCCAGUGAGCUAGAAUAGACCAUUGGUCUGAAAAGUGGAAACAUGCAGACCAAUCUAACAGUGUCCCUUUUGCUUUUUCCAUUAUUAGCUUAUUUAUCCAGAACCUACUUGCUGCUCACAUGUAAACCAAACUGAUUUUUAGGUAUGAAUCUAACAACUGUAGCUUAUCG
RNAcentral lists this long non-coding RNA (2043 nucleotides) under Panax ginseng (ginseng). RNAcentral describes it as "long non-coding RNA (PGIN_LNC015043)". Lineage: Eukaryota; Viridiplantae; Streptophyta; Magnoliopsida; Apiales; Araliaceae. The record is from RNAcentral.